This 24-nucleotide non-coding RNA is filed under the name Arabidopsis thaliana (thale cress). Lineage: Eukaryota; Viridiplantae; Streptophyta; Magnoliopsida; Brassicales; Brassicaceae. The record is from RNAcentral.
UUGCCAUUGCACAUGACCUUAUGG